Molecule: ribosomal RNA, 450 nt
Filed under: uncultured bacterium
Lineage: Bacteria
Description: bacterial SSU rRNA
Rfam family: Bacterial small subunit ribosomal RNA
Source: RNAcentral
GUGGGGAAUAUUGGACAAUGGGCGAAAGCCUGAUCCAGCCAUGCCGCGUGUGUGAAGAAGGUCUUCGGAUUGUAAAGCACUUUAAGUUGGGAGGAAGGGCAGUAAGUUAAUACCUUGCUGUUUUGACGUUACCAACAGAAUAAGCACCGGCUAACUUCGUGCCAGCAGCCGCGGUAAUACGAAGGGUGCAAGCGUUAAUCGGAAUUACUGGGCGUAAAGCGCGCGUAGGUGGUUCAGCAAGUUGGAGGUGAAAUCCCCGGGCUCAACCUGGGAACUGCCUCCAAAACUACUGAGGUAGAGUACGGUAGAGGGUAGUGGAAUUUCCUGUGUAGCGGUGAAAUGCGUAGAUAUAGGAAGGAACACCAGUGGCGAAGGCGACUACCUGGACUGAUACUGACACUGAGGUGCGAAAGCGUGGGGAGCAAACAGGAUUAGAUACCCGUGUAGUCC